RNAcentral lists this ribosomal RNA (1793 nucleotides) under Triticum aestivum (bread wheat). RNAcentral describes it as "partial small subunit ribosomal RNA". The record is from RNAcentral. Lineage: Eukaryota; Viridiplantae; Streptophyta; Magnoliopsida; Poales; Poaceae.
CUCACAUUAAUCAAGAUGAUGAUGUGUAGGCAUGGAACUACCCUCAGCUGAUGAUCAGCUAGUGCUCAGUCACCGCCCGAUCCAUGGGUCUACCUGUACGAUGAGGAAGAUGUUCAUGGUGGCGGGCGCUGCUUUGUUGCUAGCCGCCGCCGCCGUCUGCUCCUCGGCGGACGGCGAGAGCGAGGCUCGCCGUCGCGCAGUCCCCGCGGUGUACGUGUUCGGCGACUCCCUCGUGGACGUCGGCAACAACGACUUCCUGCCGCCGCCGGCGCCCAGGGCGGGUUUCCCCUGCGGCGUCGACCUGCCGCGCGCGAUCCCCGGCGGACGGACCGGGAGGUUUACCAACGGCUACAACCUGGCCGACAUCAUCGGGGAACGGCACGAUCACCCUCCGAGAACAGAUCAAGCUGUUUGCAGACACCAAGGUGACCAUGAUCGAGGCCAACAAGCUGGGAAAUAAUAGGGUCAAUCGCUUGCUGUCCCGGUCCCUAUUCCUCAUCAGCACCGCAGGCACGAUUUCUCGGCAUUUAGUGACGGUAGGGCAACCAGAAGUGAUGCAUCGGCCUACAUCGCCAAAACGGUCACCACCUACCUCAAGCACAUCAAGGAGUUGUACAGGCUGGGGGCACGGAGGCUAGGACUGCUGGACGCGCUGCCCAUCGGAUGCUUGCCGGGCUGCAGAAUUUCCUUUGGACAUGAUGGCACGUGUGACACCACUGCCAACUCUCUGGCCCGGCGGUUCAAUGCCCUACUCCGGCUUGAAAUGGCCAGCGCCACGGCAGCUUCGAUGCCAGGCAUGGAGUACUCCAUCGCCAGCAUCUACGGCAUCUUCUCCGACAUGAUCACCAACCCGGAGCUGGACAACGGACUGCAGGAGGCGACUAGCGCGUGCUGCGGAGGAGGGAGGCUCAACGCGGAGCUCAACUGCUCGGCGAGCUCGAACCUUUGCACCGACCGCGACGGCUACGUGUUCUGGGACAAGGUCCAUGGGACGCAGGCCGCCUACCAGCGAGCCGUUGCCGCCAUGUUCGACGGCGCGGCGGCGACAAAGUUCACGGAGCCCGUCAGCUUCGGGCAGUUGAUCACCGGGAAACAGGCAGCGCCGGUUGCCGUGUUAGAUAAACUGGAGCGUCCGUGCGUGGAUUUGGAAGCUGUGAUCUAGCCAAGGGAAGGGAAUUCGGAGGAUUCUUCCGCAGUGUUCGGUGCAGUACAUCUUCAACUCUGUUGAGCCAUCACCAGGCAGCAAGCCUGGUAAGCUAUCUCAAAAAACAAAAACUCUGUUGAGCCACGGAUGUCAUUCCUGCCACAGCAACCAUCGAAAUUAAGGGUCUCUUUGAUUCAAAGGAUUUUCAUGGGAUUUUUGAAGGAUUAUAAUCCUUAGGAAUUUUUCCUACAUUCGUCGUUUGAUUCGUAGGAUUGAAUCCUAUAGGAUUUUUUCCUAAGGAUUCAUUUGUACUACAUUUCACAGGAAUUCUAACAUCCACUCAAACCUCUUGGAAGAAAUCCUUUGUUUUUCCCGUGACACAAUCAAACAAACACAAAUCCCAUAGGGAUCCAAUGGACAUGCCAUUCCGAUCCUACAUUUUCCCUAUUCUUGUCCUUUUGCAAUCCUAUGAAUCAAAGAGGCCCUAAGGUGGAACUACAUGCGAUCUCUAGGAGUUAGGGUGUUGUAUGUCCGCGCGUCCAAAGUCCAAACUACCCCUCGCCUCGAUGUUCCCUCUCUUAUGUCUCUUGCAUUAACUUAAUCAAAUCAUACUAAAACCUUAACUAAAUUGAAACUUUUCUCAUCUUCC